UACGAAGGUGGCAAGCGUUGUUCGGAUUUACUGGGCGUACAGGGAGCGUAGGCGGUUGGAUAAGCCCUCCGUGAAAUCUCCAGGCUUAACCUGGAAAGUGCAGAGGGGACUGUUCAGCUAGAGGAUUGGAGAGGAGCGCGGAAUUCCCGGUGUAGCGGUGAAAUGCGUAGAGAUCGGGAGGAAGGCCGGUGGCGAAGGCGGCGCUCUGGAACAUUUCUGACGCUGAGGCUCGAAAGCGUGGGGAGCAAACAGG
Molecule: ribosomal RNA, 253 nt
Filed under: uncultured bacterium
Lineage: Bacteria
Description: partial 16S ribosomal RNA
Rfam family: Bacterial small subunit ribosomal RNA
Source: RNAcentral